UGAAAAAGUUGUUUAUAUUGCUUAUAUGCUAUAUUUUCGUGUAUGAUAUUUUAUUUUUUUAGAAGAUGUGUAUGUUAUGACUUUCCAAUGAAUGUUGUGGAUGAAUUUUGCCACCACUGCCAAAUGUGUAAUGACCACUAUUGUUUCUGCCACUUGUAAUACUCCCAACCCCACUCUAAAAGUGCAAAAAGGCUACUGCUUCCUUUUCUCUGCAUUGUUGUCAUUUUACUGUAGAAACCGCUACUGCUAUCUUAUGCAUCUUCACCCUGAUGCUUUUAUCGUCGGGGUUGUUUUUGGGGCUGCUGCUGCCACCCGUGUCAUUGUUAUCAUGGUUGUUGCUGGUAAUACAUAUGUCACUUUCUCCUGGUCAUCAACAGCUUUCUCUUACAAUGAACUUGCUUUCUCUUUGUUGGAAAGUACAGUUUAAGCCACCUGGUAAAUAUCCUUUUUGACUUUGGAAUCAAUAGAAACUUGAGAGAAUUCAUUAAAGAUCCUAAUGCAGUUAUAGUAGUGCCUCAGUUUUUCAGCACUUUUUGGAGAGUGUUCUGCAGUUAACUUUCCUGCCAUUUGCUUUCCACAAAUCAAUUGCACCAUAAAUGAUCCAAGUUUCUUUUUAGUAGUCAUUGAAUUAACUAUGUGCAUCCUACACAUUUUAUUGAUAAAGAUUAUUAGUUUUCCUCGUCUCAUUUUAGGCAUUAGCCUUGGGAUA
This 709-nucleotide unclassified non-coding RNA is filed under the name Hevea brasiliensis (rubber tree). The record is from RNAcentral. Lineage: Eukaryota; Viridiplantae; Streptophyta; Magnoliopsida; Malpighiales; Euphorbiaceae.